CGCGGGGUGGAGCAGCCCGGUAGCUCGUCAGGCUCAUAACCUGAAGGUCGUAGGUUCAAAUCCUACCCCCGCAAC
Molecule: transfer RNA, 75 nt
Filed under: Paramagnetospirillum magnetotacticum MS-1
Lineage: Bacteria; Pseudomonadati; Pseudomonadota; Alphaproteobacteria; Rhodospirillales; Magnetospirillaceae
Description: Magnetospirillum magnetotacticum MS-1 tRNA-Met
Rfam family: tRNA
About the family: Transfer RNA (tRNA) molecules are approximately 80 nucleotides in length. Their secondary structure includes four short double-helical elements and three loops (D, anti-codon, and T loops).
Source: RNAcentral